GACAAACGCUGGCGGCUGUGCUUAUCACUUGCAAUUCAAACAGAAAAGCCCUGCUUUUGUGGGGUGCUCUAGUGGCCAAAGGGUGAAUAACACGUGAGUAACCUGCCCUUGACUAUUGGGAUAACUUCAGGAAACUGGGACUAAUACCGGAUAGGAGCUCCUGCUGCAUGGUGGGGGUUGGAAAGUAUUCGGCGGCUGGGGAUGGACUCUCGACUUAUCACCUUGUUGGUGGGGUAGUGGCUUACCAAUGCUUUGACGGGCAACCCGCCUGAGAGGGUGACCGGCCACCUUGCGACUGAGAUACGGCCCACACUCCUAACGCAGGCAGCAGUGGGGAAUAUUGCACCAUGGGCGGAGGCCUGAUGCAUCACCGCCCCGUGCCGCAUGACUGACUUCGGGUUGCAAACCGCUUUCCCCUGUGACUAAGCAUGAGUGACUGUAAUGGGUAAAGAACCACCGGCUAACUACCUGCCACCAACCGCCGUGAUACAUAAGGUGCGAGCGUUGUCCGGAUUUAUUGGGCGUAAAGGGCUCGUAGGUGGUUGAUCGAGUUGGAAGGGUGAUCUGCGGGCUUAACCCUGAGAGUGCCUUCGAUACGGGUUGAAUUGAGGAAGCUAGGAGAGAAUGGAAUUCCUGGUGGAGCGGUGGAAUGCGCAGAUAUCAGGAGGAACACCCGUGGCGAAGGCGGUUCUCUGGGCUUUUCAUGACGCUGAGGAGCGAAAGCGUGGGGAGAGAACACGCUUAGAUACCCUGGUAAUCCACCCCUUAAACCAUGAGUGCUAGGUGUGGGGUCCAUUCCGCCCCUUACUGCCGUAGCUAACGCCAUAAGUCCCUCCCCCUGGGGAGUACGGCCGCAAGGCUAAAACUCAAAGGAAUUGACGGGGACCCGCACAAGCGGCGGAGCAUGCGGAUUAAUUUGAUGCAACGCGUAGAACCUUACCCGGGUCUUGACACCCUCUGACCCCUCAGAGAAAGAGUUUUCCCCUUUUGGGGACACAGUGACAAGUGGUGCAUGGUUGGCCUCAGAUCGUGUCCUGAGAUGUUGGGUUAAGUCUCGCAACGAGCGCAACACCUCGUUCAGCUGUUGCCAGCAUCGUUAUGGUGGGCACUCUACGUUGACCGCCGGGGUCAACUCGGAGGAAGGUGGGGAUGACGUCAAGUCAUCAUGCCCCUUAUGUACAGGGCUUCCCGCAUGCUACAAUGGCUGGUACAGAGAGUGGCGAGCCUGUGAGGGUGAGCGAAUCUCGGAAAGCCGGUCUCAGUUUGGAAUGGGGUUUGCAACUUGACCUCAAGAAGUCGGAGUCGGUAGUAAUUGCAGAUCAGCCACGCUGCGGUGAAUACGUUCCCGGGGCU
RNAcentral lists this ribosomal RNA (1353 nucleotides) under uncultured bacterium. RNAcentral describes it as "partial 16S ribosomal RNA". It matches the Rfam family "Bacterial small subunit ribosomal RNA", at positions 28 to 1381 of the family's 1533-position model. The record is from RNAcentral.